UCCAGAAGAUAAGUCGAGGGCCGUGACUCACAGAGAGGCUGGAAGGGGGCCGCCGCGUCAGGUCCCACCGGGAGGGAUUUUUGAGUCAGCAUUGGAGCUGAGGAUAUCCAGGAUAUGUCAUCUGAAGACCACAUGAAAGCAAAGCAUCACUUUUGAACCCAGCGCCGAGACGCACAGGGCAGAGCAGUUCCGGCACGUGUCGUGUCGCAUGGGUAUUGUGCUUUGUGUGUCGUUUGGCUGUCUCUUGUCUUUUCCCUUAGCACUUUGAGAUGCCUAUCAGAAACCCCGGCAUCCUUUUCAGCAUCUCCGAUCUCUGCAUUUCUUGGUCUGGCACCAGUAGGACUUUUGACUCAGGAGCUCAGACUGGCAUCAGAACCGCACCUCUCUUUAGAAGCAUCCAGUCAGAUGUCUUUGACGACGGACAGCUGCGCCCCGCAAGGAUCCAUUAUUGCGGAUUAGGACUCGUAAGAACGUGAGGAUAGCUAGAGGAUUCUGACCGUAGGAUUCUCAGACAUCCAUCUUUGCAGUUCUUAGAAAUCAUUCAGUUAGCAUCUUCUUCCUCCAGGGUUCUCUGAGCCUCUUCAGCUUGCCAUCGGUCUCACCUCAGUAAUUUCAUUUUGCGUUCUCUCAGUCCUUGCCGUCAUUCCUCUUGCCAAGUGACUUCUGUCCCUGUCGCGUCCCCUUUGUUUGUCAUGUCCUGUCCUGUGUCACAGGUGUCUGCACAUAUUUGUGUCGGAGCUGCUCUGCCCCGCCGCAUAGUCCAGCGCCAUAGGACAAAUCCCGGGGCCUUGAAAUUUGUAGUGCGGGGUGUAGUUGGAUUCUAGAUGGUAUUCCUAGAUGUGCAAACAAGAUGUUUGGAGGUGUGAAGUUAUCCUGCAGCCCUUUCACUUUUGUCCUGAAUUUCUUUCAGAUGCAGACCGAUAAAAUCCAUAGCAGAGCACCACAUCCCAGGAAAUAAAGCCUUCUAGCAGCAGUCAAGGCAAGGUGGUCAAGGAGUCACCCGGAGAGACUUUGGCAACGCCGAGGAGUCGCGGCGAGUCGGGAAUAGGGAGGAGGAGCGGGGGUCCACUCCGGUUUCAGCGACGCCGCAUCACCUUCUCUCCUCUCAAGCGAGGCGAACCCCGCGACGACAGCGUCAGCCUCCGAGCGCAGCCAAAUCGUCCAGCCCAAGGAGGCGGGCAUCGU
Molecule: long non-coding RNA, 1185 nt
Organism: Passer domesticus (house sparrow)
Lineage: Eukaryota; Metazoa; Chordata; Aves; Passeriformes; Passeridae
Exons: 3
Source: RefSeq, a predicted model, not a curated record